UGCAUUCACUACUGUAAGUCGCUCUGGAUAAGAGCAUCUGCUAAAUGAGUCAAA
This is a non-coding RNA of Salmo salar (Atlantic salmon), 54 nucleotides long. Lineage: Eukaryota; Metazoa; Chordata; Actinopteri; Salmoniformes; Salmonidae. The record is from Rfam.